GCCGGCGACGCCCCCCCCCCACCCCCGUUGAGAUGAGCUCACCCUCUGCCGACGGGGAGGGGCGGCCCGGAGGGUCUGCAGAACCCACGUCUCAGCCCAGCAGCAAAGGCCACCUCCUCCAGGGAGCUGCCCAGUCUUGCGCUGCCUCCCCACCUUUACCCCAAGCCUGAGGCUGAUCGGGAAAGUUGGAGUCUACCUUGGAGUGGGAAGUGCAACAGGCCCUAGCAGGAGAAAAAGCAAAGAAGGGAGCUGCUGCUACUGCUAAGUCGCUUCAGUCGUGUCCAACUCUGUGCGACCCAUAGACGGCAGCCCACCAGGCUCUGCUGUCCCUGGGAUUCUCCAGCCCUGAGACACAUGCAACUCAGAGUCUCUACUUUUCCAGGUCUGGGGGGAAUGAAGGUUUAUACAGCACCAGCUCUUCCCUGGUGAAAGAUUUUAACAAAGGCUUUUGCUCCUUGUGUUGAUGGAGAAGGAAAUGACAAUCCACUCCAGUAUUCUUGCCUGGAAAAUCCCAUGGACGGAGGAGCCUGGCGGGCUACAGUCCAUGGGGUCACAAGAGUUGGACACGACUUAGCAACUAAACCACCACCUUGUGUUGAAGAUUCCACAAAAGCACUAAAAGCAGCUCCAUUCCUGCUACCAUGCCGACUGUCCCAAGGCAGACUGAUGUGUCCUAGGACUGGAACACAAGGUGUCAUCUGAGAGGCUUUUGGUUGGCUAACCAGUCCCUGCUAUAUAUUGAUUGUGACAACCUUCCACAUGGUCAUUUUCACACUAGUCACCAUCUUACAACUUUUGUUACCAUCUGAGCCAUGUUUUAAAGCAUUCGACUGCCAGGCAAAACCCAGAGGAUCUUUAACAUCCUUGAAGGGAAAAAGUAAGCUUUGUAUUGUACCAAAGGACUUAGGUUCUGAUCUUAAAACAUUAAUCACUCAGUGAAUAAUCGUCUCC
This is a long non-coding RNA of Bos taurus (domestic cattle), 951 nucleotides long. The record is from Ensembl. Lineage: Eukaryota; Metazoa; Chordata; Mammalia; Artiodactyla; Bovidae.